GCUGGCUGCUGUCGCGUCGUGGAGGCGGGGCUGGCUGACUGGGGGUCAUUUGGGGUGAGGAUAACUGGUUGUUGACUGGUGGGCUGUGGUGGUGGUUAUCCUAAGAUUUUUGUUUGGUUCUUUGAAGAAGAAGACUUAGUCUUCAUUGUAGUCUGUAGUGUCAAGUCAAAAAAUCUGAAAGAAAAUGAAGUGUGUCUUCUAAGGCUGUAUCCGGUUCCGAUUCUGGGUCUAUUUGGGUCUGUGGUUCCGGUUCUGGCGGUUCCGGAACCGCGGUUCUGGCGGUUCCCGAUGGUUCUGAUUUUUUUUUUUUAAAAUCAAUAUCUUGUAUUGUAGUCAUUAGUAUAUUGUAGAAU
This 353-nucleotide long non-coding RNA is filed under the name Nicotiana benthamiana. RNAcentral describes it as "long non-coding RNA (NBEN_LNC001992)". Lineage: Eukaryota; Viridiplantae; Streptophyta; Magnoliopsida; Solanales; Solanaceae. The record is from RNAcentral.